This 264-nucleotide long non-coding RNA is filed under the name Capsicum annuum. Its description in RNAcentral is "long non-coding RNA (CANN_LNC019640)". Lineage: Eukaryota; Viridiplantae; Streptophyta; Magnoliopsida; Solanales; Solanaceae. The record is from RNAcentral.
AAGUUUAUUUGGGGGUGUAUGUCGACUUUAAUAACGCAUGACAUACAAUUUGGAGUAGACAUUUGACCCUUCAAAACUGUCUAAUCCCGAAUUAGGCUGCACCUUUCAAUCAAAUCAAAUCGUCCUUCUUGAUCUUUGUUCUAUCAUGAUAAACUUUGCCUGACUAAAGUCAUUCCUUCUAGGAUUUUCUCAAUUGCCUUCUCUGAUUUCGAUUGUCUCAUUCAUCGUUGUCUUAUGGCGCCCCUGGGGGUUUUCACCAAUAAG